This is a long non-coding RNA of Helianthus annuus (common sunflower), 489 nucleotides long. RefSeq lists it as uncharacterized. NCBI's taxonomy places the organism in Eukaryota, Viridiplantae, Streptophyta, Magnoliopsida, Asterales, Asteraceae. The transcript is spliced from 3 exons. The record is from RefSeq and is a predicted model, not a curated record.
GUGUUGCAUUAACUAGCACGAGCCGGAACUCGGUCAAUAUCGAUUCAGUUCGUUUAGGUUUUGAGUCGUAAACUGUAUCUCCCAGCUAAACUAUCAUCCGAGCUUCCACUCAUCGUGGCCAUUGAUUUACAACCCAUUGCUCCGAUUGAAGGUGUCAUCCAAGUAUAAGGAGACAUAACUAAUGCUAGAACAGCUGAAGUGGUCGUUAGGCAUUUUGAUGGAUGCAAGGCUGGUAUAUAAUUGGCGUCAUUAAUGUUGCAGGUCACUAUAUCUAAAGAUGACACAGUUGUUCUUGAUGGUGUUGGACUGCUGGUGAUAAGAAGUUUAGAGAAGAACGACGUUACUGUAGGCUAUAUAAUUUGUAUGUCUUCAUUUAAUUUUGGUGAAAUUUAGUUCACUGAAGUUCGGUUUUUUGCUGUUGAGAACUAAGAACUGAUGUUUAGAUAAGUAGUGCGGAUAAAUAAUUAAAUAAUAUAUAUAGUUUGUUAA